GAUGAAGAACGUAGCGAAACGCGAUAUGUAAUGUGAAUUGCAGAAUUCAGUGAAUCAUCGAAUCUUUGAACGCACAUGGCGCCUUCCAGUAUCCUGGGAGGCAUGCCUGUCCGAGCGUCGUUUCAACCCUCGAGCCCCCGUGGCCCGGCGUUGGGGAUCUGCCCAGGCAGUCCCCGAAAACCAGUGGCGGACCCAUUACAGGCCCUUCCCUUGCGUAGUAGCAUUCGCCUCGCAUCGGGAGCCGGCGGGCUUCCAGCCUCUAAACCCCCAUCAAGUCCGCCCCGGCGGCACCAAGGUUGACCUCGGAUCAGGUAGGAAUACCCGCUGAACUUAAGCAUAUCAAUAAGCGGAGGA
This 354-nucleotide unclassified non-coding RNA is filed under the name soil metagenome. RNAcentral's name for it is "partial contains 5.8S ribosomal RNA, internal transcribed spacer 2, and large subunit ribosomal RNA". The stretch from base 1 to 120 matches the Rfam family "5.8S ribosomal RNA", at positions 35 to 154 of the family's 154-position model. The record is from RNAcentral.